AUGGCGGCGGAAAGCGGCAGCAGUGUUCGGAUUCAUCCGACUGGUCUAGCUGUCUAGUGGCAGCAGUGAUGAUGAAGCGGGUUGUAGGCUCUCCUAACUGGUUAAUGAGAAGGGCAAAGAGAGUGAGGAUAGUGAUUCCACGUCUCUUGAUCACACAGAGGCAGAGCUGGACAUUUUUGCCGAUGGUUUUGAGAUAAGUAAAGAUGUCAACGAUUAUGAUGCCCAUAUUCAGCUGAUCAAUGCAGCCAAGGGGCUGAGUGAUUCUCCUCAAAGUCAAAUCUUUGACAGUCACAGAUUAAAAGGUUUAGCUCGAAAGAGAAUGAGCAAGUAUUUUCCAUUAACUCCAGAGGUGUGGAUGGACCCAGAGGUAAAAGCUGAACGAAACUGUCAUUUGUUCCGAGAGCACUGAAUCUGAAAUCUUCAAAAUAGGAAAAAUGAAAAAGCAUUCUUUGAUCCUAUCAACAGUUAAUUUGUUAAAAAAAUGUACUAAAUUAACCGUCUUUUGUAUGGUUCCAUACUACCGUAGUAGUAUCUGUUUUUUAAUGCUUACUGUGUUUAUUACCUAAAACUUGUGGAAACUAGUACUUAACAAACCAAAGCACAGGAACCUGCCACAUUUUGUUAUGGUAACUUCAUUUUCAUUGCCCAUCUGAAUAGAGCUGCUUAGGCUAAAGAAAAUUAUUGCUUCAAAAGUUUAUGCUAAGCAGCAGUAAACAGCAGUAAGCAGGAUACCAGUCACAGAUCCUACAUAAAAUAGUAUUUUAGUUGGUAACCUUUUUCUAGUUAGCAUAAUAUGAUUGUGCUUAAGCAUCUCUAUGAUAGAUCCCAGAUGAGUUUAAGAUUCGACAAACCAAUAAUGAUAACUUCAUUGCACAACUUCAUAGAGCUGCUUAAGCUUAAGACAAUAUUGCUUCAAACGUUUAUGCUAAGCAGCAGUUAACCGCAGUAAGCAGGAUACAAGUAUUAUAGUUUGUAAACCAUUUUCUUUUAAGCAUAAUUUUGUUGUGCUUAGCUAGUUUUUGUGCUUAAGCUGCUCUGUGAUAGAUCCCAGACGAGUUUAAAGGAACACGUUGCCUUGUAUCGGACGAGUUGGUCUUUAAAAAGCGUUUAUAACCGUUUGUUAUAAA
Long non-coding RNA from Asterias rubens (European starfish), 1127 nucleotides. RefSeq lists it as uncharacterized. The record is from RefSeq and is a predicted model, not a curated record. The transcript is spliced from 3 exons. Lineage: Eukaryota; Metazoa; Echinodermata; Asteroidea; Forcipulatida; Asteriidae.